GACAGGUAGAUUUGCGUGUCAUCUGCAUAGAAAUGAUAUUGGAAGCUAAAGGAGCUAAUGAGUUUACCAAGGGAGGCAGUAGAGAUGGAAAACAGUAGGGGACCAAGGACUGAACCUUGGGGGAAACCAACAGAGAGGAGUUGGUUAGAAGAAGCAGAGUCAGAGAAAGAAACACUGAAAGAGCGCUAGGAGAGGUAGGAGGAGCACCAGGCGAGAGCGAUAUCUUG
This 227-nucleotide long non-coding RNA is filed under the name Pelobates cultripes (western spadefoot toad). The record is from RNAcentral. Lineage: Eukaryota; Metazoa; Chordata; Amphibia; Anura; Pelobatidae.